GACGAACGAUGGCGGCGUGCCUAAUACAUGCAAGUUGAGCGCUGAAGGUUGGUACUUGUACCAACUGGAUGAGCAGCGAACGGGUGAGUAACGCGUGGGGAAUCUGCCUUUGAGCGGGGGACAACAUUUGGAAACGAAUGCUAAUACCGCAUAAAAACUUUAAACACAAGUUUUAAGUUUGAAAGAUGCAAUUGCAUCACUCAAAGAUGAUCCCGCGUUGUAUUAGCUAGUUGGUGAGGUAAAGGCUCACCAAGGCGAUGAUACAUAGCCGACCUGAGAGGGUGAUCGGCCACAUUGGGACUGAGACACGGCCCAAACUCCUACGGGAGGCAGCAGUAGGGAAUCUUCGGCAAUGGACGAAAGUCUGACCGAGCAACGCCGCGUGAGUGAAGAAGGGUUUCGGAUCGUAAAACUCUGUUGGUAGAGAAGAACGUUGGUGAGAGUGGAAAGCUCAUCAAGUGACGGUAACUACCCAGAAAGGGACGGCUAACUACGUG
Molecule: ribosomal RNA, 497 nt
Filed under: uncultured bacterium
Lineage: Bacteria
Description: partial 16S ribosomal RNA
Rfam family: Bacterial small subunit ribosomal RNA
Source: RNAcentral